GAUGAACGCUGGCGGCGUGCCUAAUACAUGCAAGUCGAGCGAACGGACGAGAAGCUUGCUUCUCUGUCGUUAGCGGCGGACGGGUGAGUAACACGUGGAUAACCUACCUAUCAGACUGGGAUCACUUCGGGAAACCGGCUCUAAUACCGGAUGAUAUUUUGAACCGCAUGGUUCAAAAGUGAAAGACGGUCUUUCUGUCACUUCUAGAUGGAUACGCGCUGCAUUAGCUAGUUGGUAAGGUAACGGCUUACCACGGCGACGAUGCAUAGCCGACGUGAGAGGGUGAUCGGCCACACUGGAGCUGAGACACGCUCCAGACUCCUACGGGAGGCAGCAGUAGGGAAUCUUCCGCAGAGGGCGAAAGCCUGACGGAGCAACGCCGCGUGAGUGAUGAAGGUCUUCGGAGCGUAAAGCUCUGUUAUUAGGGAAGAACAUAUGUGUAAGUAACUGUGCAGAUCUUGACGGUACCUAAUCAGAAAGCCACGGCUAACUACGUG
Molecule: ribosomal RNA, 497 nt
Filed under: uncultured bacterium
Lineage: Bacteria
Description: partial 16S ribosomal RNA
Rfam family: Bacterial small subunit ribosomal RNA
Source: RNAcentral